GACGCCCCGUGUGCAGCGCGUGCCCCUGGAUGAUCGGCCUUGCCUCUUGCAAACCUUAUAAUGCCCAGUGAGCUUCUGCGACUCGAGGGUCCUGGAGGCCUGGGAAAGUCCCAGCUCCGUGCUCAGACGGCCCACUGUGGCUUCCAAGCUGAGGCUCCCAUCCUGGGCGCAGGGGUGGCCUCCUGAGAGUUCGGGGCGGGGCCUCCGAGGGGAGAAAUCUAAUGGCGGUGGCUUCGGAGUCUCUUUUUCCAGCUCGGCUCUCUGCCUCCCGGUGGAAAACGCUACCAGGUGAAGAGACGCGGCCGGGCUGGGCCUUCUGGCAUGCAGAUUCCAACCGACGGGCACCCCGCUCACGUCUCGCAGCCCCAAGAGGUCCCACGCGUGAUGAAAUCUAUUGACUCACCGUUUCUUUCUGCAGUCGUGGGUCUUUCUCUGAAAACGUGGCAGGUAGCUCUUGGAAACCUUGUGUGGCCCUGGCUGGGGGGAAAGUCCUCCCUGCCCGGAGACGCCCGUUGGAAAAGUCCGAAAGACCUGCGUGGCCGAUGGCAUCCGGGCAGCCCAGCCCCGGAGGCUGCCCAUUGGGAUGUUUCUGGAAAUGAGCGCUCCCUUUCCAGCUCAUGCCAAGCAGAGAGAGGCUGGGUGGGGUGUGUGCUGCAGCCAGCCAGGGGGACCCCCUCUCUCUAAGGGCCAGUGAGGGGAGAGAACCGUCCUGCAGGAGCACUGCCCGCAGCCCUCCCCCUCCCCCAGCACGCUCUGAGCCCCAUCAGUGUCUGCGUGCUCCCUUCCAGAGCAGGAACCUGGCUCCUGUGUUCUGCCCCUUCCAGCAGCUGGCCCUCAUUCACACAUCCCCGCCUUCUUUUUCCAGCCAGGAUGGGAAGUUCCCUGAGGGCACCAGUGGUUCUAGAACUUUCUUUCAUACCUUGCACAGGCUGAAAUGGCGUAGACACCAGGCUGGCCAAGUUAAGUUAGUUGUGCCCAGUAUGGACUCGGGGGCCUCAACACAGAGGCUGUACCCUCACCUGGGCACUGCCCCACGGAGCUCAGGUCUCAGACACACGCGGGUUCCAUUGUGUGAUGACCUGAGUUAGCUCUGGUCACUGUAGCACUCAUGGCGAGUAAAUGGAUGGGGGCAGGUUUCUGAGAUGGGCCGCACAGGAGGCGGUAGGCGUACCGGCGGCUGCUCUAACAGCUCCCACCAGCGCAGGGGCUGAAAACAGCCCACACGGACACGAAUAGUUCUGAAGGUCAGAACCAGGAAAUUGGUCCCACAUGCCUAUAAUCAAGCGGUUGGCAGGGCUGUGUUCCUUCUGGAGGUUCUCGGGGAGUAUCUUUCCUUGCCUUUUUGAGCUUCUCGAAGCUGCCUGCCUUCCUUGGCUGGUGCCCGCAUCACUCCAACCUCUGCUUCAGUCUCCAUCCCUGACUCUGAUCCUCCUGCCUCCCCUCUCCACUUACAAAGACCAUUGUGAUGACGCUGGGACCACCAGGGUCACCCAGGAUAAUUCCUCUCCUCAGUAUCCUUCACUUAGUCACAUCUGCAAAACCCCUCCAUCUGGCCGAGUAAAGUAAAGUUUUAGGGACAGAACGUGGAAACCUUCGGGGGGCAUUAUUUUGCCUACCAAAAAGGUGCCACAAUAUGAAGGCAUAGCCAAGGGCAGGCGGGAGCAUUACCAGAGGUAGCAACGUGGCCAAAGGAGGUGGUGAAGUGUGGGCUUUUGGGGAGAGCCCUGCUGACUUUGGUUUCUGGGUGUUUUCUGUUCCACUGCCUUGUUAAUUUCCUUUGUUUUUCAUUCAGAAGUUUGAAUUCUCUGCCACAUACACAUACUGACACGCAUGCUAUUUCUUUUUUCCUUUUUUUUUUCUUUUUAAUUUGGCAUUUAUUGAAGCUGAUGGAGUGAACUGGAUAAGAGUACCCCAGAGUAACUGAUGUGCCACUUAAAAUAUUGAACAUCCAUUUAGAAAAAAAAGUGUACUGAACAUUUGGUCCCAUCACACCACGUGGAGCUCAGCUCCCGCACUCUGGGGUCUCAGCCAGAGAGCAAAUUCCCCCAACUCCAACCUCGGAGACCUAGGCCUGUUUCUCCGCUGGAGAAAUGGCUCGUCCCAGAGAACAAGGUCAUUAAGCAAAGUUAGUGACAACACAAGCAAAGGGAAAGUGACAGCAGCGAGUGGGUCCCAGGGAGAGGGUCCCCCGGAGGCUUCUUAGCAAGCGGAUGCGCACCGCGAGGCUGUGAGGCUACACGGGGCUGGGUGCCUCCAAUUACGGAAAGUUCUACAACUGCGGUUUCCUAUUUUUCCCAUAAAUUCCUACGAUAUCUUAAAUAUGACGUGUAAUGCUGCACUGGCAGAGAAGGACACUCGAGUCUUUCGUUUUUUAAUUCAAGAUAAAGCAUUUCACAAGAAACAGAAGACUGCUUCCCUGCCAUCACUGCAAUGCAUGUGUUCCCAAGACUGUGCUUAAAGUCUGUAUUUUUUGCUAUUUUGUGAUAUCAUUGUGAAGAAUAAAACCCGUACCUGU
Molecule: long non-coding RNA, 2515 nt
Organism: Felis catus (domestic cat)
Lineage: Eukaryota; Metazoa; Chordata; Mammalia; Carnivora; Felidae
Exons: 2
Source: RefSeq, a predicted model, not a curated record